GCUACUAUAGCUCAGUUGGUAGAGCAAUCGACCGAUAAUCGAUUGGCGUAGGUUCAAGUCCUGCUAGUAGCACCA
This 75-nucleotide transfer RNA is filed under the name compost metagenome. RNAcentral's name for it is "tRNA-Ile". It matches the Rfam family "tRNA". Rfam says of the family: Transfer RNA (tRNA) molecules are approximately 80 nucleotides in length. Their secondary structure includes four short double-helical elements and three loops (D, anti-codon, and T loops). The record is from RNAcentral.